UACGGAGGGUGCGAGCGUUGUCCGGAAUUACUGGGCGUAAAGGGCUCGUAGGUGGCCAACUAAGUCAGACGUGAAAUCCCCAGGCUUAACCUGGGAACUGCGUCUGAUACUGGAUGGCUUGAAUUCGGGAGAGGGAUGCAGAAUUCCAGGUGUAGCGGUGAAAUGCGUAGAUAUCUGGAGGAAUACCGGUGGCGAAGGCGGCAUCCUGGACCGAGAUUGACACUGAUGAGCGAAAGCCAGGGGAGCAAACGGG
Molecule: ribosomal RNA, 253 nt
Filed under: uncultured bacterium
Lineage: Bacteria
Description: partial 16S ribosomal RNA
Rfam family: Bacterial small subunit ribosomal RNA
Source: RNAcentral